This 153-nucleotide ribosomal RNA is filed under the name uncultured eukaryote. RNAcentral's name for it is "partial small subunit ribosomal RNA". It matches the Rfam family "Eukaryotic small subunit ribosomal RNA", at positions 1662 to 1828 of the family's 1831-position model. The record is from RNAcentral.
GUACACACCGCCCGUCGCUACUACCGAUUGGAUGGUUUAGUGAGGUCCACGGAUUCUCCGGCCCUGCGUAUACGAGAAGUGGAACAAACUUGAUCAUCUAAAGGAAGUAAAAGUCGUAAGAAGGUUUCCGUAGGUGAACCUGCAGAAGGAUCA